Molecule: ribosomal RNA, 125 nt
Filed under: uncultured bacterium
Lineage: Bacteria
Description: partial 16S ribosomal RNA
Rfam family: Bacterial small subunit ribosomal RNA
Source: RNAcentral
CCUACGGGAGGCAGCAGUGAGGAAUAUUGCGCAAUGCCCGAAAGGGUGACGCAGCGACGCCGCGUGGAGGAUGAAGGCCCUUUGAAUGUAAACUCCUUUUGUGAGGGAAUAAUUUCCCGCUAUAU